CCUACGGGGGACUGCAGUGGGGAAUAUUGGGCAAUGGGCGAAAGCCUGACCCAGCAACGCCGCGUGAAGGAAGAUGGCUUUCGGGUUGUAAACUUCUUUUGACAGGGAAGAGCAUAAGACGGUUCCUGUCGACAACGCCACGGGUAACCACGUGCCAGCCGCCGGGGUAAUACGGUGGUGGCAAGCGUUGUACGGAUUUACUGGGGGUAAAUGGCGUGUAGCCGGGCUGAUAAGUCAGAUGUGAAAUCCGGGGGCUCACACCGCUAACUGCAUUUGAAACUGUUGGUCUUGAGUAUCGGAGAGGCGGGCGGAAUUCCAGGGGUAGCGGUGAAAUGCGUAGAUAUUAGGAGGAACACCAGUGGCGAAGGCGGCCUGCUGGACGACAACUGACGGUGAGGCGCGAAAGCGUGGGGAGCAAACAGGAUUAGAUACCCCUGUAGUC
This 442-nucleotide ribosomal RNA is filed under the name uncultured bacterium. RNAcentral describes it as "partial 16S ribosomal RNA". It matches the Rfam family "Bacterial small subunit ribosomal RNA", at positions 338 to 795 of the family's 1533-position model. The record is from RNAcentral.